This 3491-nucleotide long non-coding RNA is filed under the name Sus scrofa (pig). Lineage: Eukaryota; Metazoa; Chordata; Mammalia; Artiodactyla; Suidae. The record is from RNAcentral.
GUCUUUCGAGGCUGCGGGUUGGGUCUUGGUGAGUGUGUUUUCUUUGUUUAAGUAAAUCCUUGGUCUGAGGCCUCCAGUUCUUGGCAGUUAAAAUCGCCAGUCACUUUUAGGCCAGUCGCAGGCCUUCGCAGGGCUCAGAAGAUAAGAAUGGUGGAGCAGUGCGCAUUGGGUGGCCGGCGUGGCCUGAUUUGUAUUCGAUUUGUUGGGUCGCACUGCGGAAAAACCUCGGCUCGGGGCCCUGCCUCUGAUGAAGCCUGUGUUGGUAGGGACAUCUGAGACUGUUGAUGAAUGCCAACGGCUCUGAUGGCGGUGCUUGCCGAGUUGCCGAGCGGGUUUCUGUUAAUGCCUUCUGCUCUUGCCUCUUCCCGUCUCUCAGUAAGGCCACGUGAGCCUCUAAAUGGCUGCAUUCCCCAUUGCAGCAUUAGUGCCCUCAGAAUGCUCCUGUGAAAUUUUGAGUGGUGUAGUAAAAGACCUGCAAACAUGAUGGGGAGACGGCAAUGAUUAGAUGUGGGGAAAAAACGAAUUUUGGGAGUUCUUUGAUGGCCUAGCAGGUUGAGGCUCCUGCAUUCUCUGCGCUGUGGUUCUGGCUGCUGCUGUGCCGCGUAGGUUCGAUCCCCGGACCAGGAAUGCCCAGACACUAUACUGCAUGUGUGGCAAAAAAGAAAAUACAAAAGAAAAAAAUCUAAUUUUGAAAAUCCCUAAUCUUUUCUAGGAAUGGUGCUAGGGAUGAAUGCAAUGUGGCUUUUGAUGGCUUCUGAUGGGCAGCUAAGCGCCAAAGAUAUGAGAAUCGCUGCUGGGGUGAGUUAUAGAAAUUCCCUCCACCAGGGGUGUUAGGUUGAAAUUCCUUUGUGCCAUAAUGAUGACAUUUUAUUUGCUACUCUUGACAGUGAGGAUGACGAGAAUCCUUACCACCAUUAUUCUAACUGAGGCACACAAAACAGUGGUUUAGAGGACAUAGAAAUUGCUCCUAAGCUUACAUGAAACUGUUUCUUCCCAGGUUGUAAAGCGCAAGCUUAACACUGUAUUUGUGGGCAAAAAGGUGAGAAACCUUUUUAAAGUCUAUAUACCCAGUGCUGUCCAAUUCUUUGUAUUUUUAGGGGUUGACAAAUCACCAAAUCAAUGUUGAUGCUUAAAUUAGCGGUUUGCUCCCCUUUUCAAACCUGAAAUUCUGCACCUUAGUUUUAUACUUAACUUGCAGGGAUCUGAAGAAACAGAUACUGUGAUGGUUGCAUAGUUCAACAGAUUGAAUCGUGAAAGAGAGAACAUUUGACUGAGUGUCUGGGUUAGGAAAACUUUGGCUAAUAGCAUAAGCAAAGUACCACUUCUAAUCUGACUUCUAUUUUUGUAGGUGCUAGGCAGAGUUAGCUGAAAGGUGAAGAGGUAAGUAAAAUUGUAAUUGAACUAAACAUUGGUGACUGGGCAAAGAUGACAGAAUGCCUCUGAUGGGUUUUUAGGACUGCCUUUUAAUACACGUGAAGCAAUCCUACCAUGAAGUGCUUGGACAGUGCUGAAUGCAUUAAGGCCAAAUCCUUGUCUUGUUACCAUAAGGUGUAUUGCUUUGGAAGAGCAGCCUGUGUGAUGAUAAGCAUAUACUGACUGAACAUGAAGGUCUUAUAUUAGCUCUAUCUGAUUUCAGGCAUUUUUUAGGUUUCUGGGGAAUAAUUCAUCUUUGACUACUGUAAAACCACUCUUUAUUUCUUUAGGUGAACUUGUCUGACAUGUCUGGACCAGCCUUUUUAGUGGGUAAGCAUUAAUGUUUAAAGCAAAAUUUAGUAGGCUCAAAACUUAGGGUAAUGCUGACAAGGUAGAAUGCCUAAGCUAAUUUUGUAUGUUUGAUUUGCAAACGUAUGUUGAGCAUGCUUUAGCAGGGUUUUUGUAAUGAUGUUGAGCAAAUGUCUGACCUGAAAUGAGCAUGUAGACAAAUCUAACACUGAAGGACCCUGUGACAAAAAUAAAUGAGAAUUUAAUGUAUGAUUGACCUUUUAGUGAAAGUGUCAUUUCCUUUAUAGGUACCCGGUAUUAUCUGUGGAUGGCUUGUUUGGGGUAAGACAUGAAAACAGUUCUUUGGCUCUUGGCACUUGGGGUUUUUGUUUUUAUAAUGUGCUAGUCUUAGUAAUUGUGAUGGUGUUUUCUGGUGUUGGACAGUUGGAGUAUUGAAGCUAUUUUGAAAUGUGUCUGAAGAAAUAAUUUUUUUCAGGUGCAGAUUUUGAGGACCUUUUGUAUAAAGGUAUGUAUGUAUUUUUAUCAAUUGUACUAGUUAGUAAGCAAAAUGCUGUUAGUGAUGAUUUAUAAAAUUAAACAGAUGGGAAUCUCUCUGAAAAAUAAUGAAGAUUUUAAAAAACUGAAACAGUGUUAAGAAGUUUUUUAAAAAUUAUAUUUCUACCUAUUAAAUUUCAUUAAGUUUCAUUAAAUUCUGCAGGUGUGAAGAGGCCUUGGCUACAAGGCAUUGAUUGGAACAUGCCUUAAAAGGUAUUGUAGCCUUAAGUUAGGUUUCUGUUUUAUGUGAUUUUUUUUUUUAAGCCGAUACAAUGAUGAUAACAUAGUUCAGCAGACUUGACAGUGAUGAGCAAAUAACUGUCUUUCGCUCCUAUCUGAUGUAUCUGGCUGUAACAAUUCUGUUUAUACAGUUUCUCAGAAAUGUUAAUGGAUUUGGAUAAGCCUAAUGACUAAUGGAGAUGUCCUAUACUAUUAAACUUAAGUCAUAGUCAAGCUUAGGGUUACCAAGAGGGAAACUGAAGGCACACUACAUACAAGGUAGCUAACCAGGGACCAACUAUAAUAGCACAGUGUGGUCUACUCAGUGUUAACCUAAAGCUAAUACAACUUAAUUCAACUAUACUCCAAUAAAAACAUUAAAAUUCCAGAAUUACCAAUUGACAUUUAGAUGAAGACAAGGCUGACAUUCUUGUGAGGAAGUUUUUAUGGUAUAUAAUGUACAUAAUGCCAGAUGACUUGUUUAGUUGAUUAUUUUAGAAUCAUUUUUUAGAUCGGCUUGGGAUUCAUAGCAAAGUUAACCACAUACCAUGCACACAAAAUCUAGCACUGGAAUAGUACGUUGGGGUUCACUCAUGUUCUGAGUGGGGACAAGUGCUGACAAACACAACAUACAAAAUAUGUUCACUGUCCUAAAUUUUUUCACAUUUUCAAACAGGCAGAUCUUCUGUUACCCUGAAGAUUUCAAAGUAAGUCAGCCUUUUAUAUAUAGUUAUUAUCUGUAUGUUUGAAUGUAACCAGUGAUGUGAUGAUUCUGCCAAAUGAAUAAGAUGAUAUCACCCAUAAACCGUUCCAUUUUGAUUCUGAGGUUACUAACAAGUAUCACUUAAGUCUUGGGUUAUUUUACUGUGAUCUAACAUGUUCUUUCCUUUUUAGGGCAUUUAUGAGCAGCAGUCAAUGCAACUUAACCAAUUGACAGGUAGCUGGAUGGAUGCUUGUGGGAUGGAUAGAAGAAAAGUAAACAACUUUGUAUUUUAAUAAAUGUUUUUUACUUAAAA